UAACACGCCAACGAAACUAUCAGACUUCAAGCUUCUCUCUCUUGCCCCAAGAUUCAAAAAUGGCCUCUUCCCUGGUUCUCUCGAGUGCGUUCUCUUCCGUAACUCGCCGUCCCAGUAUCCCAGUACAACCUCUCUGCCCAAUCUUAAUUCCCUCGUUCCAAAAAUCCACUAAUUCAAAAUUCUUUAGACCAAUCCAUCUGUUUCCCUCAAAUUAUGUGUCUUUUUCCUGGAAAAUUUCGACCCACAGUUCCCUUAGAUCAGAUGCAGAUACAAACAGCUCCGUCUCUGAAGAGUCGCUUGUGGGUGAGGACUCGGCAGCGUUCGAGUUGGGUAAACAGAAGAUGCUAUCUUGGAUAUAUUUCAGUGUGAUAUUGGGAGUUGUUUUAUAUGUGCUUGAUGUGGCUUGGAUUGAUAACUCUACGGGAUAUGGAAACCUUUUUAUCGACGCUGUUUCCGGUCUUUCAGAGAGACAUGAAGCUGUAAUGUUGAUUCUGAUUUUCAUUUUCGCCACUGUUCACAGUGGCUUGGCAAGCCUCCGGGAUAUGGGUGAGCAACUUAUUGGAGAAAGACCAUAUCGUGUUUUGUUUGCUGGGGUCUCUCUUCCAUUAGCUGUUAGCACUGUCGUGUACUUUAUUAAUCAUAGAUAUGAUGGAGUUCAAUUAUGGCAGCUUCAAAGUUCUGUAGCAGUUCAUCAACUUGUGUGGCUUUCUAAUUUUAUUUCUUUCUUUUUCCUCUAUCCUUCUACUUUUAAUCUAUUAGAAGUAGCAGCUAUUGACAAGCCUAAAAUGCAUCUUUGGGAAACUGGAAUAAUGAGGAUCACGAGGCACCCUCAGAUGGUUGGACAGGUGAUCUGGUGCUUGGCUCAUACAAUUUGGAUUGGCAAUUCUGUAGCUGUUGCUGCAUCUAUUGGUCUAAUUGGACAUCACUUAUUUGGCGUGUGGAAUGGAGACAGAAGACUAGCAAAGCGAUAUGGAGAGGGUUUCGAGGCUGUGAAGAAGCGGACAAGUAUAGUUCCGUUUGCUGCAAUCUUUGAUGGUCGUCAAAAGUUACCCACAGAUUAUUACAAGGAAUUUCUCCGGUUGCCAUAUUUUUCAAUUACUGCAUUGACUCUAGGUGUGUACUUUGCUCACCCACUUUUGCAGGCUGCCAGUUCCCGGCUUCAUUGGUAAGCAUUUUCAUCUUCAUUUUAUCAAAUUUAAGGUGGUUUGUAAUUGCGUAUGGUUAAUGUAAAAUAGACACAUGUAUCCAUUCUGAAAGGGGGAAAAAAACAUAGCCUGUUCACAAUUCUUGCCUUGGUGGGUAAGUAAAUGAAUGAUGGAUAUAAUUGCAUGCACAUAGAACUUGAAUCCAUAUCAAAGCGUUUUUAGCAUGUGUACGUAGAGAUAUUAAAAGGCGUGUUUAGCAGGCGAAAGGAUAUAGAUCAAUGUUCUACUGUUAUGGUACCUUAUGGCACUAUUGAGAAGAUUUUCUAGCUUAUGGGUUAAACCGAUUGAUGAACUUUGCUUUAUGAUUUUAUCCUCUAGUUUUAGAUUUGUGUUCUGUUCAGUUGGUCAGUAGCUUGUGGAGCAGCACCAAAUUCAGUGAUGUUUGUAUGACUAGUUAAAGAUUUUCUUUAUCAACAGUUGGACCAAAUCACCACUAUGCUGCAAAAGAAAUGUGUACUUAGGGGACAAUUUGACUCCAAUUAUACUGCUAAUAACUAGUAAAUGAUUCACUACAAGUUUUACUUCAAUGAAUUAAGUGUUUAUUUGGUAUUGAUGGUAGAGCUACAGUUGAGAAAAAAAAAAUGCAUCCUUGAAUAUGUUAAUUAAAUGAUGUUAAAAAUUAGUUUGAAGUUAAAUUUGAUAUAUUUUAGUCAAAAACUCGGAAAACAAAUAACAAUGUUUUCAAUGGGGCCUUUUUAAAAGGAAGCUUUUUGGCUUCAUGCUUGCGAUCCCAAGUUGUCUGGACUUUGUACUGUUGGAGGCUUCCUGAGACCUGACCGAUCAGUGGAUUAAGUUAAUUGACCAAAUUGGUAAAUUUUCAUAAUAGCUUGUUAAAAUCAGUCCACCCUAGAGACAAAAUAUAUAAUAAAUAGAAGCUUGGCCACGGUAAAUUCAGAUGCACAAAACGCUAGAGAAAAAUUUAGGUCAGACAAUAGGGCUCUAAAAUAUAUUAGAACAAUCUAAGUGAAGGAAUUUUGUAACAUUUGCUUGAAUUACGAUUGCUUAUAUUAAAGAAAUUUUCUUAAAUUUUAAUAUUGUGGACUGAGAAAUCAGGGCGUUCAAACUUCAUUUGGUUUCUAUUUGAGCAAAUGAAUUUAAUUUUUUUAAUAAAAAAUUUAAAUAAUAAUGAAGCAAAAAUAAAAUAAGUUUAAUUUAAUUUUUUUAAUAAUAAAUAAAUUAGUAUCUUGUGUUUUGUUUUGUUUUGUUUUUGUAUUAUAAGAACACCCUCAUAGAUCCUACUUUUGUUGUACGUAAAUGACAAUAUUUAAAACUAGUAUUAUUGAUUAAUUUUGUACUGUUUAUUGGACAAUAGGCAGAAAUUAAAUACCUGGGGCAGCUAUGUCAUCCAAAUCUUGUAAAAUUGAUUGGUUAUUGCCUAGAGGAUGAUCAACGGCUUUUAAUCUAUGAGUUUAUACCAAAAGGCAGCUUGGAGAAAUAUAUAUUUGAAAGUGAGUGAUUGUCCUUUUCUUCGGGAAGCAAUUGAGCCUUGUACCUUUGGUGUAGGAUUUUGUGUGAUCUCAAGUAUGAAUUGUUGGAACAGGGAGUUCUCGCAUUCAACUACUGUCUUGGAAUCUCCGUAUGAAAGUUGCCCUUGGUGCUGCCAAGGGUCUCAAAUUUCUUCAUGAU
This 2831-nucleotide unclassified non-coding RNA is filed under the name Hevea brasiliensis (rubber tree). The record is from RNAcentral. Lineage: Eukaryota; Viridiplantae; Streptophyta; Magnoliopsida; Malpighiales; Euphorbiaceae.